AUAUGGUCUUGUUAUGGAUUCAUGUGUUUUUGAUGUAUUAGAUGGUGACCAGGGAUACCGUAUGGGGUGAAUUGAUUUCCUAGGAGUGUAGUUACAAGUAGUUCUAAAACUGGCCGACUCAAAUCAAAACUCAGCAGGUUAUCAACCCUCCGCUUUUCCACCAUGAAAAGCACUCUGUUCAUUUCAGGUACUGCUCGAAAAAAAUGAAAUAUUAAUUCAGCAUAUAAGCUUUGCAUGUUUUUAGCCUGUCGAGACUUCAGAAUUGAUUGACAUCUUUGUUAACAUACAUUUCAUUGUUUUGGUGGUGUGGCCCACAUGAGUUUUGGAUUGAGCUGAUCUUUGUCAUCUACGGUGACAAUGAGGUGAACAACUAAUGGAUAGCACACGUAUUGUGGCUCCACAAAUCUCAGGAACCUUCUCUUAGAGUGGAUUUGAAGCUGCUGCUUUGAAGGAUCCUGGCCUCAAUGCUGGCGAGGAGGUGCAGAAGAUGGUCAAUCUUCUUGACAAGCUGGACACCUCCAUGAAGGUAAACUGCAUUUCUUUCUGAAACUCAGAAGCUGUGUCUGUAACAGAAAUUUAAUUUUCUUUACAGCUUCUAUAAUUUUUUUGCCCACUACCUUCAGAUGCAUUCAUUUUGAUCAGAUUGAUAGAAUGCCCAGCAUUCCUGAAACUUGUACUUGUAUAGUAUGCUUUCAGUUUUGUGUUUUUUUUUUU
This is a long non-coding RNA of Magnolia sinica, 714 nucleotides long. RefSeq lists it as uncharacterized. Lineage: Eukaryota; Viridiplantae; Streptophyta; Magnoliopsida; Magnoliales; Magnoliaceae. The record is from RefSeq and is a predicted model, not a curated record. The transcript is spliced from 2 exons.